AACGUAGGACACAAGCGUUAUCCGGAGUUACUGGGCGUAAAGGGCGUGUAGGCGGAUCGGUAAGUCUACUCUGAAAGCCCCGGGCUCAACCUGGGAACUGCGCUCGAAACGGCGGAACUAGAGUUCGGGAGAGGUAAGUGGAAUUCCGAGUGUAGAGGUGAAAUUCGUAGAUAUUCGGAAGAACACCAGUGGCGAAGGCGACUUACUGGACGACUGUUGACGCUGAGGUGCGAAAGCGUGGGGAGCAAACAGG
Molecule: ribosomal RNA, 253 nt
Filed under: uncultured bacterium
Lineage: Bacteria
Description: partial 16S ribosomal RNA
Rfam family: Bacterial small subunit ribosomal RNA
Source: RNAcentral